GUGUAGGGAUGAGCACGACAGUGCAGGUGAGCAUGAAGGAUGGACAAUCUUCGGGGAUUUUAGAUUGGAAACACAACAAAACACUAACACUCAGGGAUUUACGAAUAGUAAGACGCCUGCUAAUAUCGAUGAUUCGUUUUUAGAUUGAAUCAAUGAAUUGUUAAACGAAUUCAAUCAAUGGCACCAGCGUGACCAAGAAGAACAAUAACGUC
RNAcentral lists this long non-coding RNA (212 nucleotides) under Amborella trichopoda. RNAcentral's name for it is "long non-coding RNA (ATRI_LNC000507)". The record is from RNAcentral. Lineage: Eukaryota; Viridiplantae; Streptophyta; Magnoliopsida; Amborellales; Amborellaceae.